Molecule: long non-coding RNA, 676 nt
Organism: Pogonomyrmex barbatus (red harvester ant)
Lineage: Eukaryota; Metazoa; Arthropoda; Insecta; Hymenoptera; Formicidae
Source: RefSeq, a predicted model, not a curated record
GCGUAGUACGAUUUUGCUAGUACGGAGACGAGCUUCCAAGCAAACGCGUGGUCCACCUCCGAGUUAUUUCCUUUUCCAUCCUCUUCCCCGGUCUCCUCAACUCCCCUUUCGCUCUCACCCUCUGCUACCUCCUUCGUCCCUUGCCUUCCUCAAGUCCGCCGCCGCAGCUUGGACGGCACAAAUUAUUACCCGUCGCAGGUGCAUUUUUUCCUAUUCCCUCGCUCGUACGCCCUGCGCGCCUUACCGCGCUUCACUCCGAAACGUCCGUCGUGUGACAAGAAAUUACGAGAGCUCGGAAGCGCGACCCUUCGCCUCGCUCAAUUACCGGCGACGAGGGUAAACCUCUGCUCGAAGUGCACGUAAACUGCAGCAGCCGGCGCAGGAUCUUAGGAGAAAUCACGAUGGUUACCUGACAUACCAUCCUCUUCUCUCACUGUACACGCGUGAGCUGCAUUGACCGCUACUGAACUUUGAUGUGUUUCCUGCACAAAAUUCACCUCCGAAGUCAUAAAUUAGCUACCGGAGACCGAUGCGUUUCUCUUUGGCUGGCUCCCUCGAACCUGCACCAAUACCACGGGCCACCACUUCAGCGGGCUCAAAAGCAUCAAAAGCAAACGCCGGACAAACCUCAUCGGUCUGCUGGCGGCGAGAAUUAUGUAAUAUAACGUUCAAUCUG